RNAcentral lists this ribosomal RNA (851 nucleotides) under uncultured Flavobacteriaceae bacterium. Its description in RNAcentral is "bacterial SSU rRNA". It matches the Rfam family "Bacterial small subunit ribosomal RNA", at positions 33 to 874 of the family's 1533-position model. The record is from RNAcentral. Lineage: Bacteria; Pseudomonadati; Bacteroidota; Flavobacteriia; Flavobacteriales; Flavobacteriaceae.
ACGCUAGCGGCAGGCCUAAUACAUGCAAGUCGAGGGGUAACAGAGGGUGCUUGCACCCUGCUGACGACCGGCGCACGGGUGAGUAACACGUAUGCAACCUACCUUUUACUGGGGGAUAGCCAAGAGAAAUUUUGAUUAAUACCCCAUACGAUCUAAUUAUUUCCUGAUAAAUAGAUGAAAGUUUCGACGGUAAAAGAUGGGCAUGCGUCCUAUUAGUUUGUUGGUAAGGUAACGGCUUACCAAGACUACGAUAGGUAGGGGUCCUGAGAGGGAGAUCCCCCACACUGGUACUGAGACACGGACCAGACUUCUACGGGAGGCAGCAGUAAGGAAUAUUGGACAAUGGAGGAAACUCUGAUCCAGCCAUGCCGCGUGCAGGAAGAAUGCCUUAUGGGUUGUAAACUGCUUUUAUACAGGAAGAAAACUUGGUAUGUAUACCAACUUGACGGUACUGUAAGAAUAAGGAUCGGCUAACUCCGUGCCAGCAGCCGCGGUAAUACGGAGGAUCCAAGCGUUAUCCGGAAUCAUUGGGUUUAAAGGGUCCGCAGGCGGUUUAAUAAGUCAGAGGUGAAAUCCUACAGCUCAACUGUAGAAUUGCCUUUGAUACUGUUAGACUUGAGUUAUUGUGAAGUAAUUAGAAUGUGUAGUGUAGCGGUGAAAUGCAUAGAUAUUACACAGAAUACCGAUUGCGAAAGCAGAUUACUAACAAUAUACUGACGCUGAGGGACGAAAGCGUGGGUAGCGAACAGGAUUAGAUACCCUGGUAGUCCACGCCGUAAACGAUGGAUACUAGCUGUUCGAUGCACAUUGGUGUGUUGAGUGGCUAAGCGAAAGUGAUAAGUAUCCCACCU